Molecule: ribosomal RNA, 180 nt
Filed under: Triticum aestivum (bread wheat)
Lineage: Eukaryota; Viridiplantae; Streptophyta; Magnoliopsida; Poales; Poaceae
Description: partial small subunit ribosomal RNA
Source: RNAcentral
AUGGUUUCUGUGCUAACAUGCUUAUUGACAGUACCUUUUCUAGAGAAUGUCAAUAAAUUCCAAAAUCCAUUUCGCCGCCCAGUAGCUAUGACCUUUUUAAUCGGUACUGUAGUAGGUCUUUGGUUAGGUAUUGGAGCAACAUUACCCAUUGAUAAAUCAUUAACUUUAGGUCUUUUUUAG